Non-coding RNA from Pantherophis guttatus, 299 nucleotides. Lineage: Eukaryota; Metazoa; Chordata; Lepidosauria; Squamata; Colubridae. The record is from RefSeq and is a predicted model, not a curated record.
ACCCCCUUAGCACCCAGUCCAUGACUGUGGAGAUCUCUGGAUCGCGGGAUGAAACUCGAGCAAUGUCAGCCACCAUCAAAACGAAAGGCUAGAGAAGACCUGCUGUUUCAAGAGCGACUGUAAGCUGAGUUGUGUGAUUGCCACCCAGAUCAUGUACAAGGGGAGGAACUGGAUGACAGGCAAAGGUGGAAGAGGUUGUUUGUUUGUUUUACAUCUCUUUUACAUCGCUCUCCUAUACAAGAAAAUGUACAGGCAGUUUGUGUGGUUUGCAGGCUAAACUAAACAUUUUAACUUGUCAA